This 253-nucleotide ribosomal RNA is filed under the name uncultured bacterium. RNAcentral's name for it is "partial 16S ribosomal RNA". It matches the Rfam family "Bacterial small subunit ribosomal RNA", at positions 524 to 776 of the family's 1533-position model. The record is from RNAcentral.
UACGAAGGGGGCUAGCGUUGCUCGGAAUUACUGGGCGUAAAGCGCACGUAGGCGGCUUUCUAAGCCAGGGGUGAAAUCCUGGAGCUCAACUCCAGAACUGCCUUUGAUACUGGAGAGCUUGAGUCCGGAAGAGGUGAGUGGAACUCCGAGUGUAGAGGUGAAAUUCGUAGAUAUUCGGAAGAACACCAGUGGCGAAGGCGGCUCACUGGUCCGGUACUGACGCUGAGGUGCGAAAGCGUGGGGAGCAAACAGG